RNAcentral lists this ribosomal RNA (422 nucleotides) under bacterium enrichment culture clone ALO1_GLFRUDD03G013U. RNAcentral describes it as "bacterial SSU rRNA". It matches the Rfam family "Bacterial small subunit ribosomal RNA", at positions 9 to 433 of the family's 1533-position model. The record is from RNAcentral.
GAGUUUGAUCGUGGCUCAGAUUGAACGCUGGCGGCAUGCCUUACACAUGCAAGUCGAACGGCAGCACGGGAGCUUGCUCCUGGUGGCGAGUGGCGAACGGGUGAGUAAUGCAUCGGAACGUAUCCUGGAGUGGGGGAUAACGUAGCGAAAGUUACGCUAAUACCGCAUAUUCUGUGAGCAGGAAAGCGGGGGACCUUCGGGCCUCGCGCUCUUGGAGCGGCCGAUGUCGGAUUAGCUAGUUGGUGAGGUAAAGGCUCACCAAGGCGACGAUCCGUAGCAGGUCUGAGAGGAUGAUCUGCCACACUGGAACUGAGACACGGUCCAGACUCCUACGGGAGGCAGCAGUGGGGAAUUUUGGACAAUGGGGGCAACCCUGAUCCAGCCAUGCCGCGUGAGUGAAGAAGGCCUCGGUUGGUAAGUAC